GAUCCCAACCUGAUGCCUCCCCGAAAGGCAUCCACCAGACGAUCUACGACCUCCGUCAUCAGAUCUCAGCAAGAUCCACUAGCUCCGACCUCGUCUCUAGUUUUUCAGGCUCCUCCUCCUCCGGCAAUAGCAGUCAUUAUGGAGCAGUUCGACCUGCUGGUUCAGCAAGUUAGGGGCCUCACCAAAGUGGUGCAGGCCAUGCAGCAGCAGCAUUAGUAGCUGUAGGCAUCUGUGCGGCUAGAAAGAGCAUCGUCAGAGUUCCAGAAUCCGACAAUCGGGCGGCCCACUUGAGCCAGUCGCCCUGUAUCCUCCGAAAAGAAGAAGCAGAGGGCGGAAAGCCCUCUAUCUGAUCACAAUUCCACCCCCGAAAGAUCCCUACCUCCAUUCUGCCAAAAAACCCUUGAGAUUCAUGAUCGAAAGGAUCUCCUGGAUCAAAAGUUUCAAGAGAUGAACCGACGGA
RNAcentral lists this long non-coding RNA (460 nucleotides) under Elaeis guineensis (African oil palm). RNAcentral's name for it is "long non-coding RNA (EGUI_LNC058006)". Lineage: Eukaryota; Viridiplantae; Streptophyta; Magnoliopsida; Arecales; Arecaceae. The record is from RNAcentral.